Molecule: ribosomal RNA, 421 nt
Filed under: uncultured bacterium
Lineage: Bacteria
Description: bacterial SSU rRNA
Rfam family: Bacterial small subunit ribosomal RNA
Source: RNAcentral
UAGGGAAUAUUGGACAAUGGGGGCAACCCUGAUCCAGCCAUGCCGCGUGAGUGAAGAAGGCUCUCGGGUUGUAAAGCUCUUUUGUCCGGAAAGAAAAGCUUCGGGUUAAUACCCCGGGGUUCUGACGGUACCGGAAGAAUAAGCACCGGCUACCUUCGUGCCAGCAGCCGCGGUAAUACGAAGGGUGCAAGCGUUACUCGGAAUUACUGGGCGUAAAGCGUGCGUAGGUGGUUGUUUAAGUCUGAUGUGAAAGCCCUGGGCUCAACCUGGAAUGGCAUUGGAAACUGGGCAGCUAGAGUGCGGUAGAGGGUAGUGGAAGUCCCGGUGUAGCAGUGAAAUGCGUAGAGCUCGGGAGGAACAUCUGUGGCGAAGGCGACUGCCUGGACCAGCACUGACACUGAGGCACGAAAGCGUGGGGAGC